AUGCUGAUGGAUGCUCACUA
This 20-nucleotide non-coding RNA is filed under the name Rattus norvegicus (Norway rat). Lineage: Eukaryota; Metazoa; Chordata; Mammalia; Rodentia; Muridae. The record is from RNAcentral.